Molecule: unclassified non-coding RNA, 200 nt
Filed under: Geoglossales sp.
Lineage: Eukaryota; Fungi; Ascomycota; Geoglossomycetes; Geoglossales
Description: partial internal transcribed spacer 2
Source: RNAcentral
UUAAGUUCAGCGGGUAUCCCUACCUGAUCCGAGGUCCAACUUAUUAUUUUAUUUGCAGGACCUACAAUAGUUUCUCCAAAGCGAGUCCAGUCUGCUACGCUUGAGUCUAUUGAGGCACCUCUACUGAUUUUCAGGCACGUCACUACCUGUACAGAGACGAGGGAGACGAAAACCCAAUACCAAGCAAGGCUUGAGAUUUG